CUCAAGUUAUAUGAAUACAUUUACUCUUGUUCAAAACAGCAGCACCUCAAUUUUCACUACUGAAAAUUCAUCAUUGAUUCUUAAUUUGGGUAUCCACUGACUGUAUCAUUGACAAGGUUCCUUUUUGUUUUCCUUUAUUUAGUAAGUCAUCAAUUCUGACAUCUUUUGCUGUAUUUUGUUUUAAAUCAAUCUUUCCUUUUUAAUUCCAAAGUCUUUUUUUGUCUUUUGUUAGUUUCCCCAGCAGCAGGGUUUAGAGCUGCCUUAGGACCAGGGGUCUCUCCCUCCCCAGGAAGCUACAGAACAUGCGUAAAAGCAGCAGCCAGAGGAAAGCAUGAGGAUUUGGUGGCCAAAUAGAUCCAUCUUUGAAUUCUACUUUUACUUGGGUCAGUGUUCUAUUGUUCUGUGUCCUCUACAUUUGCACAUGCACAGAGAGUAUAGUGUUUAGAGAAGCAUGGUAGGGACAAUUUAAAGGCCUUUCUACCAGGCGUGAAAAGAUGCUUGCUCCAGCUACUCUUGGCUCCUUCGCAUUUAUAUUGACGUCCUCACCAUCCCCACAAGUGGGCAUUUGUACCCUGGGCAGAGCUGGAACAAGGCCAUUGCUACUGCAAAUUCCUCCCUGAACAGACUUUGGUCAGACUGUACUGGAGAAUUUAUAAUGGGAAGGUUGUUCGUCUUUCAUUCAUCGUUGAGAUCCAGAAAGACCCACCUGGCUACAUUCAGGUUUGGCCACAUCUCUGAGGACAGAGUCUGUCUAUUCCGACACAUAAAAUGAAGUCAGAAAGACUACUGACAUGACUUACAAAGGAGAUGCCCUGAAACUGGUGCUGGAAACUUGGUCCCUCAUCCAUCAAAAGCAAUAAAGGGAUUCAAGAUGGAGAGGCUGGGCAGUGGGAGAUAGAUUCUUCAGAGC
RNAcentral lists this long non-coding RNA (910 nucleotides) under Canis lupus familiaris (dog). RNAcentral's name for it is "lncRNA (ENSCAFG00000038966.3, ENSCAFG00805028502.1, ENSCAFG00845015509.1)". Lineage: Eukaryota; Metazoa; Chordata; Mammalia; Carnivora; Canidae. The record is from RNAcentral.